Molecule: ribosomal RNA, 489 nt
Filed under: uncultured Sphingobacteriales bacterium
Lineage: Bacteria; Pseudomonadati; Bacteroidota; Sphingobacteriia; Sphingobacteriales
Description: bacterial SSU rRNA
Rfam family: Bacterial small subunit ribosomal RNA
Source: RNAcentral
GCUCAGAAACUUAAAGGAAUUGACGGGGGCCCGCACAAGCGGUGGAGCAUGUGGUUUAAUUCGAUGAUACGCGAGGAACCUUACCUGGGCUCAAAUGUAUGUUGACGUAUUCUGAAAGGGAUACUUCUUCGGACAAUAUACAAGGUGCUGCAUGGUUGUCGUCAGCUCGUGCCGUGAGGUGUCGGGUUAAGUCCCAUAACGAGCGCAACCCCUAUCAUUAGUUGCCAUCAGGUAAUGCUGGGGACUCUAAAGGAACUGCCUACGCAAGUAGUGAGGAAGGCGGGGAUGACGUCAAAUCAGCACGGCCCUUACGUCCAGGGCUACACACGUGCUACAAUGGCCGAUACAGAGGGCAGCUACCUGGUGACAGGAUGCAAAUCUCCAAAGUCGGUCUCAGUUCGGAUCGGAGUCUGCAACCCGACUCCGUGAAGUUGGAUUCGCUAGUAAUCGCGCAUCAGCCAUGGCGCGGUGAAUACGUUCCCGGGCCUU